This 158-nucleotide ribosomal RNA is filed under the name Pseudomonas aeruginosa. Its description in RNAcentral is "partial 16S ribosomal RNA". It matches the Rfam family "Bacterial small subunit ribosomal RNA", at positions 1 to 138 of the family's 1533-position model. Lineage: Bacteria; Pseudomonadati; Pseudomonadota; Gammaproteobacteria; Pseudomonadales; Pseudomonadaceae. The record is from RNAcentral.
GAACAUGAGAGUUUGAUCCUGGCUCAGGAUGAACGCUGGCGGCGUGCUUAACACAUGCAAGUCGAACGAAACACCUUAUUUGAUUUUCUUCGGAACUGACGUUUUGUAGACUGAGUGGCGGACGGGUGAGUAACGCGUGGGUAACCUACCCUGUACAG